Molecule: long non-coding RNA, 231 nt
Organism: Neopsephotus bourkii (Bourke's parrot)
Lineage: Eukaryota; Metazoa; Chordata; Aves; Psittaciformes; Psittacidae
Exons: 3
Source: RefSeq, a predicted model, not a curated record
CCCAGGAGCCGUCUGUGAUUUCUGCAGCCAGCGCCAGGCUGAGCUCUACCAGAAGGAGGUGGGGGCCCUGGCGGCCCUGGAGCAGCGCUUCUCCCGCCUCUGGAGCCAGUGCCAGCGGUGCCAGAGCGCCCUGCACCAGGACGUGCUCUGCACCAGCCGGGACUGCCCCAUAUUCUACAUGCGGCGCAAGGUGCAGAAGGACCUGGAUGCUCAGCAGGCGCUGGUGGCUCG